GGCCAGUUAGCUCAGUCAGUAGAGUGUAGCACUAACAAUGCUAAGGUCACAGGUUCAAUUCCCGUUCAGUCCC
Molecule: transfer RNA, 73 nt
Filed under: Apaloderma vittatum (bar-tailed trogon)
Lineage: Eukaryota; Metazoa; Chordata; Aves; Trogoniformes; Trogonidae
Rfam family: tRNA
About the family: Transfer RNA (tRNA) molecules are approximately 80 nucleotides in length.
Source: Rfam by way of RNAcentral